UACGGAGGAUGCAAGCGUUAUCCGGAAUGAUUGGGCGUAAAGCGUCCGCAGGUGGCUGUGUAAGUCUGCUGUCAAAGAGCGAAGCUCAACUUCGUAAAGGCAGUGGAAACUACACGGCUAGAGUGCGUUCGGGGCAGAGGGAAUUCCCGGUGUAGCGGUGAAAUGCGUAGAGAUCAGGAAGAACACCGGUGGCGAAGGCGCUCUGCUAGGCCGCAACUGACACUGAGGGACGAAAGCUAGGGGAGCGAAUGGG
This 253-nucleotide ribosomal RNA is filed under the name uncultured bacterium. RNAcentral describes it as "partial 16S ribosomal RNA". It matches the Rfam family "Bacterial small subunit ribosomal RNA", at positions 524 to 776 of the family's 1533-position model. The record is from RNAcentral.